This 255-nucleotide unclassified non-coding RNA is filed under the name Hypoxylon sp. RNAcentral's name for it is "partial contains 5.8S ribosomal RNA, internal transcribed spacer 2, and large subunit ribosomal RNA". Lineage: Eukaryota; Fungi; Ascomycota; Sordariomycetes; Xylariales; Hypoxylaceae. RNAcentral also lists the same sequence under 1 other name. The record is from RNAcentral.
AACGCAUAUUGCGCCCACUAGUAUUCUGGUGGGCAUGCCUAUUCGAGCGUCAUUUCAACCCUUAAGCCCUGUUGCUUAGUGUUAGGAGCCUACUACCUUACGGCGUAGCUCCCUAAAGGCAGUGGCGGUGUUAGGUACACUCGUAGCGUAGUAAUUCUUUUUUCUCGCUCCUGCUGUGUACCUAGGGCCUGCCGUAAAACCCCUAUACUUCUAGUGGUUGACCUCGGAUUAGGUAGGAAUACCCGCUGAACUUAA